GAUGAAGAACGCAGCGAAAUGCGAUAAGUAAUGUGAAUUGCAGAAUUCAGUGAAUCAUCGAAUCUUUGAACGCACAUUGCGGCCCUUGGUAUUCCGAGGGGCAUGCCUGUUCGAGCGUCAUUAUAACCCCUCAAGCUCAGCUUGGUGUUGGGGCCUGCUGCACUGGCAGCCCUUAAAAUCAGUGGCGGCGCCAUCUGGCUCUAAGCGUAGUAAUUCUUCUCGCUAUGGAGUCCUGGUGGAUGCUUGCCAUCAACCCCCAAUUUUUCUAUGGUUGACCUCGGAUCAGGUAGGGAUACCCGCUGAACUUAAGCAUAUCAAUAAGCGGAGGA
RNAcentral lists this unclassified non-coding RNA (329 nucleotides) under soil metagenome. RNAcentral's name for it is "partial contains 5.8S ribosomal RNA, internal transcribed spacer 2, and large subunit ribosomal RNA". The stretch from base 1 to 120 matches the Rfam family "5.8S ribosomal RNA", at positions 35 to 154 of the family's 154-position model. The record is from RNAcentral.